This 71-nucleotide transfer RNA is filed under the name Loxodonta africana (African savanna elephant). It matches the Rfam family "tRNA". Rfam says of the family: Transfer RNA (tRNA) molecules are approximately 80 nucleotides in length. Their secondary structure includes four short double-helical elements and three loops (D, anti-codon, and T loops). Further hydrogen bonds mediate the characteristic L-shaped molecular structure. tRNAs have two regions of fundamental functional importance: the anti-codon, which is responsible for specific mRNA codon recognition, and the 3' end, to which the tRNAs corresponding amino acid is attached (by aminoacyl-tRNA synthetases). tRNAs cope with the degeneracy of the genetic code in two manners: having more than one tRNA (with a specific anti-codon) for a particular amino acid; and 'wobble' base-pairing, i.e. permitting non-standard base-pairing at the 3rd anti-codon position. Lineage: Eukaryota; Metazoa; Chordata; Mammalia; Proboscidea; Elephantidae. The record is from Rfam by way of RNAcentral.
CCAGUGGUAGUUCAAUGGUAGAAUUUUCCCCUUCCAUGUGGAAGACCCAGGUUUAAUUCCUGGCCAAUGCA